This 597-nucleotide ribosomal RNA is filed under the name Cystofilobasidium bisporidii. RNAcentral's name for it is "eukaryotic LSU rRNA". It matches the Rfam family "Eukaryotic large subunit ribosomal RNA", at positions 61 to 648 of the family's 3401-position model. The record is from RNAcentral. Lineage: Eukaryota; Fungi; Basidiomycota; Tremellomycetes; Cystofilobasidiales; Cystofilobasidiaceae.
GAAACUAACAAGGAUUCCCCUAGUAACGGCGAGUGAAGCGGGAAGAGCUCAAAUUUAAAAUCUGGCAGUCUACGAUUGUCCGAAUUGUAAUCUCGAGAAGUGUUUUCCGCGUUGGCCUGUGUACAAGUCCCUUGGAACAGGGCGUCAUAGAGGGUGAGAAUCCCGUCCUUGACACAGACACCCAAUGCUUUGUGAUACACUCUCAAUGAGUCGAGUUGUUUGGGAAUGCAGCUCAAAAUGGGUGGUAAAUUCCAUCUAAAGCUAAAUACUGGCGAGAGACCGAUAGCGAACAAGUACCGUGAGGGAAAGAUGAAAAGCACUUUGGAAAGAGAGUCAAACAGUACGUGAAAUUGUUGAAAGGGAAACGAUUGAAGUCAGUCGUGCCUGCCUAGAUUCAGCCUUCUGGUGUAUUUCUAGGUCGGCAGGUCAGCAUCAGUUUGGGGGGGUUAACAAGGGAGUUAGGAAUGUAGCAACCUCGGUUGUGUUAUAGCCUAGCUUCGCAUUGAUCUCGCUGGACUGAGGAACGCAGUGCGCCCGCAAGGGUUGGUCUUCGGACACAUUCGCACUUAGGAUGCUGGCAUAAUGCCUUUAAACGAC